UCAGGAUGAACGCUGGCGGCGCGCCUAACACAUGCAAGUCGAACGGCACCCAUCUUCGGAUGGAAGCGAGUGGCGAACGGCUGAGUAACACGUGGAGAACCUGCCCCCUCCCCCGGGAUAGCCGCCCGAAAGGACGGGUAAUACCGGAUACCCCGGGGUGCCGCAUGGCACCCCGGCUAAAGCCCCGACGGGAGGGGAUGGCUCCGCGGCCCAUCAGGUAGACGGCGGGGUGACGGCCCACCGUGCCGACAACGGGUAGCCGGGUUGAGAGACCGACCGGCCAGAUUGGGACUGAGACACGGCCCAGACUCCUACGGGAGGCAGCAGUGGGGAAUCUUGCGCAAUGGGGGGAACCCUGACGCAGCGACGCCGCGUGCGGGACGGAGGCCUUCGGGUCGUAAACCGCUUUCAGCAGGGAAGAGUCAAGACUGUACCUGCAGAAGAAGCCCCGGCUAACUACGUGCCAGCAGCCGCGGUAAUACGUAGGGGGCGAGCGUUAUCCGGAUUCAUUGGGCGUAAAGCGCGCGUAGGCGGCCCGGCAGGCCGGGGGUCGAAGCGGGGGGCUCAACCCCCCGAAGCCCCCGGAACCUCCGCGGCUUGGGUCCGGUAGGGGAGGGUGGAACACCCGGUGUAGCGGUGGAAUGCGCAGAUAUCGGGUGGAACACCGGUGGCGAAGGCGGCCCUCUGGGCCGAGACCGACGCUGAGGCGCGAAAGCUGGGGGAGCGAACAGGAUUAGAUACCCUGGUAGUCCCAGCCGUAAACGAUGGACGCUAGGUGUGGGGGGACGAUCCCCCCGUGCCGCAGCCAACGCAUUAAGCGUCCCGCCUGGGGAGUACGGCCGCAAGGCUAAAACUCAAAGGAAUUGACGGAAGG
RNAcentral lists this ribosomal RNA (874 nucleotides) under uncultured bacterium. RNAcentral's name for it is "bacterial SSU rRNA". It matches the Rfam family "Bacterial small subunit ribosomal RNA", at positions 24 to 920 of the family's 1533-position model. The record is from RNAcentral.